GACGUCCACUUACUUGGAGUCCGACUCUCACUUUCUAACCCUGUGCACUUGUUUGGGAUAGUAACUCUCGCAAGAGAGCGAACUCCUAUUCACUUAUAAACACAAAGUCUAUGAAUGUAUUAAAUUUUAUAACAAAAUAAAACUUUCAACAACGGAUCUCUUGGCUCUCGCAUCGAUGAAGAACGCAGCGAAAUGCGAUAAGUAAUGUGAAUUGCAGAAUUCAGUGAAUCAUCGAAUCUUUGAACGCACCUUGCGCUCCAUGGUAUUCCGUGGAGCAUGCCUGUUUGAGUGUCAUGAAUACUUCAACCCUCCUCUUUCUUAAUGAUUGAAGAGGUGUUUGGUUUCUGAGCGCUGCUGGCCUUUACGGUCUAGCUCGUUCGUAAUGCAUUAGCAUCCGCAAUCGAACUUCGGAUUGACUUGGCGUAAUAGACUAUUCGCUGAGGAAUUCUAGUCUUCGGAUUAGAGCCGGGUUGGGUUAAAGGAAGCUUCUAAUCAGAAUGUCUACAUUUUAAGAUUAGAUCUCAAAUCAGGUAGGACUACCCGCUGAACUUAAGCAUAU
RNAcentral lists this ribosomal RNA (559 nucleotides) under Rhodotorula mucilaginosa. RNAcentral describes it as "eukaryotic LSU rRNA". The stretch from base 141 to 294 matches the Rfam family "5.8S ribosomal RNA". Lineage: Eukaryota; Fungi; Basidiomycota; Microbotryomycetes; Sporidiobolales; Sporidiobolaceae. The record is from RNAcentral.